This 447-nucleotide ribosomal RNA is filed under the name uncultured bacterium. RNAcentral's name for it is "partial 16S ribosomal RNA". It matches the Rfam family "Bacterial small subunit ribosomal RNA", at positions 29 to 523 of the family's 1533-position model. The record is from RNAcentral.
AACGAACGCUGGCGGCAGGCUUAACACAUGCAAGUCGAACGCCCCGCAAGGGGAGUGGCAGACGGGUGAGUAACGCGUGGGAACCUACCCUUUUCUGCGGAAUAGCUCUGGGAAACUGGAAUUAAUACCGCAUACGCCCCACGUGGGAAAGAUUUAUCGGGGAAGGAUUGGCCCGCGUUGGAUUAGCUAGUUGGAGGGGUAAAGGCCUACCAAGGCGACGAACCAUAGCUGGUCUGAGAGGAUGAUCAGCCACAUUGGGACUGAGACGCGGCCCAAACUCCUACGGGAGGCAGCAGUGGGGAAUAUUGGACAAUGGGCGCAAGCCUGAUCCAGCCAUGCCGCGUGAGUGAUGAAGGCCUUAGGGUUGUAAAGCUCUUUCACCGAUGAAGAUAAUGACGGUAGACGGAGAAGAAGCCCCGGCUAACUUCGUGCCAGCCGCCGCCGUAA